This 573-nucleotide ribosomal RNA is filed under the name uncultured bacterium. RNAcentral's name for it is "bacterial SSU rRNA". It matches the Rfam family "Bacterial small subunit ribosomal RNA", at positions 232 to 821 of the family's 1533-position model. The record is from RNAcentral.
CGCGUCUGAUUAGCUAGUUGGUGAGGUAACGGCCCACCAAGGCGACGAUCAGUAGCCGACCUGAGAGGGUGGCCGGCCACAUUGGGACUGAGACACGGCCCAAACUCCUACGGGAGGCAGCAGUGGGGAAUAUUGCACAAUGGGGGAAACCCUGAUGCAGCAACGCCGCGUGAGUGAAGAAGUAUUUCGGUAUGUAAAGCUCUAUCAGCAGGGAAGAAGAAAGACGGUACCUGACUAAGAAGCCCCGGCUAACUACGUGCCAGCAGCCGCGGUAAUACGUAGGGGGCAAGCGUUAUCCGGAUUUACUGGGUGUAAAGGGAGCGUAGACGGCUGUGCAAGUCUGAAGUGAAAGCCCGUGGCUCAACCGCGGAACUGCUUUGGAAACUGUAUAGCUUGAGUACUGGAGAGGCAGGCGGAAUUCCUAGUGUAGCGGUGAAAUGCGUAGAUAUUAGGAGGAACACCAGUGGCGAAGGCGGCCUGCUGGACAGAAACUGACGUUGAGGCUCGAAAGCGUGNGGAGCAAACAGGAUUAGAUACCCCNGUAGUCCACGCGGUAAACGAUGAAUGCUAGGU